AUGUUUGCUUUCAUGGAUAUGAUCUCAGCAUUGUUAUGCCACAUGUGCCUGCUUCUUCUAGCGUCAUUUGAUGAUAUUUCUGAACCCAUCUCUGAAUCUUUUGAGUUCACUACUGCACCAAAGGUGACUGUGAAACAUGAUCACAAGCAAAAGUCUGCACCUUUGGUGGACACUGAGGUUCGUCGCAGUGCACGGCUCAGUGCUUUAAGAGAUGGAUACCGUUUGCCAUGUAGUGGCGCCAACAAAUCUAAUGGUCUGAACAGGUCUCCGCACACUUUGAAGAAACACAAGACCAAGUCCGCUCAGUCUGAUGGAGCUUCAUCAGUGUCACCACCUACUGCCAUCUCUGAACUCCAACGUAUUGGGGCUCGCCUGCGCAUCGCUCCGGAGAAGAUAGCCACGGAUAAGCUUGUUGCUAAUCCGGCUUAG
This 429-nucleotide ribosomal RNA is filed under the name Triticum aestivum (bread wheat). RNAcentral describes it as "partial small subunit ribosomal RNA". The record is from RNAcentral. Lineage: Eukaryota; Viridiplantae; Streptophyta; Magnoliopsida; Poales; Poaceae.